Molecule: ribosomal RNA, 253 nt
Filed under: uncultured bacterium
Lineage: Bacteria
Description: partial 16S ribosomal RNA
Rfam family: Bacterial small subunit ribosomal RNA
Source: RNAcentral
UACGAAGGGGGCUAGCGUUGCUCGGAUUGACUGGGCGUAAAGGGCGCGUAGGCGGUUCGUACAGUCAGACGUGAAAUUCCUGGGCUCAACCUGGGGGCUGCGUUUGAUACGUGCGGACUUGAGUGCGGAAGAGGGUCGUGGAAUUCCCGGUGUAGCGGUGAAAUGCGCAGAUAUCGGGAAGAACACCCGUGGCGAAGGCGGGUCUCUGGGCCGAUACUGACGCUGAGGAGCGAAAGCGUGGGGAGCGAACAGG